Molecule: ribosomal RNA, 526 nt
Filed under: uncultured bacterium
Lineage: Bacteria
Description: bacterial SSU rRNA
Rfam family: Bacterial small subunit ribosomal RNA
Source: RNAcentral
UACGUAGGUGGCGAGCGUUGUCCGGAUUUACUGGGCGUAAAGGAUGCGUAGGCGGAUAAUUAAGUGAGAUGUGAAAUACCCGGGCUUAACCUGGGGGGUGCAUUUCAAACUGGUUGUCUAGAGUGCAGGAGAGGAAAGUGGAAUUUCUAGUGUAGCGGUGAAAUGCGUAGAUAUUAGGAAGAACACCAGUGGCGAAGGCGGCUUUCUGGACUGUUACAGACGCUGAGGCAUGAAAGCAUGGGUAGCGAACAGGAUUAGAUACCCUGGUAGUCCAUGCCGUAAACGAUGAAUACUAGGUGUAGGAGGUAACGAGACCUUCUGUGCCGCCGUAAACACAUUAAGUAUUCCGCCUGGGGAGUACGAUUGCAAGAUUAAAACUCAAAGGAAUUGACGGGGGCCCGCACAAGCAGCGGAGCAUGUGGUUUAAUUCGAAGCAACGCGAAGAACCUUACCUAAACUUGACAUAUCCUGAAUUACCUGUAAAAAGGGAAGCCCUUCGGGGCAGGAAUACAGGUGGUGCAUGGUU